CUUGCCGAACACGAUCAAAGCAAAUUUAAGCAUGCAAAGAGAUAGAACAUUAUACUUUAACCAAAAUAAAAAAAUGGCAUGUUGGUGUUCUCUACAAGACCCCAAGGUAGAAGUCCUAUAAUGGUGAUCCAUACAAAAGUUGGCCAAGGUCCUUCCCAACCGGUACGCAGCUGCAGCCUUGUCUUCUCAAGAAUACUGUCAGCUUCAAACUUGCAUCAUGAUCACACCAAAGCCUAGUUGCUUUUGAUC
RNAcentral lists this long non-coding RNA (249 nucleotides) under Elaeis guineensis (African oil palm). RNAcentral describes it as "long non-coding RNA (EGUI_LNC046041)". The record is from RNAcentral. Lineage: Eukaryota; Viridiplantae; Streptophyta; Magnoliopsida; Arecales; Arecaceae.